UAGGGAAUCUUCGGCAAUGGGGGGAACCCUGACCGAGCAACGCCGCGUGAGUGAAGAAGGUUUUCGGAUCGUAAAGCUCUGUUGUUAAGGAAGAACGAGUGUGAGAAUGGAAAGUUCAUGCUGUGACGGUACUUAACCAGAAAGGGACGGCUAACUACGUGCCAGCAGCCGCGGUAAUACGUAGGUCCCGAGCGUUGUCCGGAUUUAUUGGGCGUAAAGCGAGCGCAGGCGGUUAGAUAAGUCUGAAGUUAAAGGCAGUGGCUCAACCAUUGUAGGCUUUGGAAACUGUUUAACUUGAGUGCAGAAGGGGAGAGUGGAAUUCCAUGUGUAACGGUGAAAUGCAUAGAUAUAUGGAGGAACACCAGUGGCGAAGGCGACUCUCUGGUCUGUAACUGACGCUGAGGCUCGAAAGCGUGGGUAGCAAACAGG
RNAcentral lists this ribosomal RNA (429 nucleotides) under Bacteroidota bacterium. Its description in RNAcentral is "Bacteroidetes bacterium partial 16S ribosomal RNA". It matches the Rfam family "Bacterial small subunit ribosomal RNA", at positions 355 to 776 of the family's 1533-position model. Lineage: Bacteria; Pseudomonadati; Bacteroidota. The record is from RNAcentral.